Brienomyrus brachyistius is the source of this 559-nucleotide long non-coding RNA. RefSeq lists it as uncharacterized. The transcript is spliced from 3 exons. Lineage: Eukaryota; Metazoa; Chordata; Actinopteri; Osteoglossiformes; Mormyridae. The record is from RefSeq and is a predicted model, not a curated record.
CAUCUGCUUGCUGUACAAAUGUGUUUUUGCUACCAAUUGAACUUUGGGUCGCGUUUGAUCUGCUUCCAUGACGGCCAGCUGACUCGCUUGGUCACCAGAACAAAUGCUGAACCUUUACCUGCCGGGAAAUACGCCGUAGAAACUUCAUUUAUUUCCUAUUGUUGUCAUCUUGCCGUGUUUUUUUUCCAAGAACAUCCCAUAUCACAUCACUCAGCAGCAAGGAGGGUAGAGAUCAGCGAAGGAAAAUAUUCUUUUGGUGGCUUUCUUGGAAAAGUUCAUAUCAUUGGCCGCGCCUUCAUCCUAACCUUCUUCUUAACCCUAUCAGAUACAGGCUCUCAUUUUGAUUUGGCACGAAUGUCUGGAGCUCCUGAAGUCUAAAACUGGCUUUAAGGGAAAAGGACAUGGAAGGGACAUGCCGAUAUUAUCCAAGGCUGCUGCAAGGCUCAAUGGGCUGAGGGUGCAGCUCUGGGGCAGAUAUCCUGUCUGUCAGUCUGAGGUGCUGCCUGGAUGCCUAAUGGUCCACAACCAGCCACAUAUCCAAACACCUCUGAGAUCCCCG